RNAcentral lists this transfer RNA (77 nucleotides) under Oscillospiraceae bacterium. Its description in RNAcentral is "tRNA-Pro". It matches the Rfam family "tRNA". From Rfam's summary of the family: Transfer RNA (tRNA) molecules are approximately 80 nucleotides in length. Their secondary structure includes four short double-helical elements and three loops (D, anti-codon, and T loops). Further hydrogen bonds mediate the characteristic L-shaped molecular structure. tRNAs have two regions of fundamental functional importance: the anti-codon, which is responsible for specific mRNA codon recognition, and the 3' end, to which the tRNAs corresponding amino acid is attached (by aminoacyl-tRNA synthetases). tRNAs cope with the degeneracy of the genetic code in two manners: having more than one tRNA (with a specific anti-codon) for a particular amino acid; and 'wobble' base-pairing, i.e. permitting non-standard base-pairing at the 3rd anti-codon position. Lineage: Bacteria; Bacillati; Bacillota; Clostridia; Eubacteriales; Oscillospiraceae. The record is from RNAcentral.
CGGGGUGUGGCGAAGUUUGGUAUCGCGCACGGUUCGGGACCGUGAGGCCAAGGGUUCAAGUCCCUUCACUCCGACCA